This is a long non-coding RNA of Antechinus flavipes (yellow-footed antechinus), 3344 nucleotides long. RefSeq lists it as uncharacterized. The transcript has 2 exons. The record is from RefSeq and is a predicted model, not a curated record. NCBI's taxonomy places the organism in Eukaryota, Metazoa, Chordata, Mammalia, Dasyuromorphia, Dasyuridae.
CCAUGAUAUUCCAAUUAUCUAAUCAGGAUUUUGUCUCCUAUAAAAGAAACAGGAAGAUGCAAGAUUUGCUAAAGAGAGCAGCUUUUUUGGGGCGCUAGAGUGGCUGAUUGUUUCACAAGUUACCUAGUUGCUCUCUCAAAUCCCUGACUUUUUGUCACCCAGUUACCUCCAGAAAAUAAGCCAGGCAUAAAGUCCAUCCUGCAAUGGAAGUCACUGAGGCUUCACUGUUCACUUCUCGGAGAUCACAAGAAAAUUUCUGGACCCGACACCAAACCUCUCUAGGCAUGAUCUUAGCCGGAGGAAUAGCGUUUAUAACUGGAUCAUUUAUUUUAGUAUUUUUUGCCACUAACUACAUUUCUGAAUACUUCAUGUCGGGACCACUUUGUCUUUCUUUUGGCCUCUGUACUAUAGCUAUUGGGAUCGUAAUGAUGACCAUAGAGGACAUGACAUUGUGGCUACCUUUUAGAGUUGGUGAGCAUAUCUCUUUCAUGAGGCAGACUGCAACCCGAGCUUCCGCCGCAACCCGAGCUUCCGCCGCCACCCAGACUGCAACCCGAGCUUCCACUGCAACCCGAGCUUCCGCCGCCACCCAGACUGCAACCCGAGCUUCCCCCACCACCCAGACUGCAACCCGAGCUUCCCCCCCCACCCAGACUGCAACCCGAACUUCCCCCACCACCCAGACUACAACCCAGACUGCAACCCAGACUUCUACUGAGGAUUAAACUUCUUUACAUUUUAAAAUGCAUGAUCAUCUAAACUUACAAUAACUUCACUGUGGCCAAAUUUGCAUGAAUGUUCAACUUUGUACAGAAUCUGCAUCAAAACAAGGCUCUUUGCCAUUUUCCCAGAGAGUGACUCUAAUUAUUCGAUUAGAAAAGCAAAGCUUGAGAGAUUAGAAAACGUAAAAAAGAAUCCUGCUUAUGACAAGACUGGGGCAACAGAUAGGGACCACAGUACAGGAGAUAGUGCCUUGAGAAAGAUGAAGUUAGAAAAUAAACACAGAAUUGAUGAGAGGUUGGGUGCCCCAAAAGGCAUUAUAUACACUUUUAUGUCCUCCAGUGCCUCUAAACCCAAAUAUCCACAUGUGAUCAAAGUCAUGGUCAGGCUACAGCUUGGUCUGGGUUUUUUCUGUUUAACACUUUCCUCGGGAAUUUAAAAUUUGAGGGUAAUGUUUGGGCCAGCCCUAGAUGCUCCUUCAUUGGCUGGCUAUAUAGGAAACAAGGAAGAGUCAAAGGAAAGAAGGGUUUCUCAGAAGUACUUGUGCUUCAGCCAAUUUUCUACAUUGCUCUUCUAGUCAAGAAGUAGGACAACUUUUUUUUUUUUUUUUUUUUUUAAAACAGGUUGAAGCUCUGCUCAGAGAGGAGGACCCUAAAUCUUUUCUGCCAGUUAUCAUGGAGAUGUUUGUAAAACUCAUUUUCAUCCUUGCUGGAAUGUCACCGUGACCAGGCCAGUUCUCCACACCUCCACACCUUGGAAACAGGAAUUUCUAAGUUAACAGCUCUGCAAAUAUACAGCCUAUUGACUCCAUGAUUGUUACAGUGGAAUAUUCUGUAUUUCUUAGUAACAGCUUUGGGCCCCAGUACCAUAGAGUCAUACCAUAGAGUCAAUACCACCAGCAUUAAAGCUAUAUUCUCUGGACAACCCCAAAUCACCAAUUUUUAAAUUGCCCAUUGAGGAGCAGGUUGGCCUUCAGGUGAAGGAUCCAGUUGUAUGGAAGAUGCUUCAUCCUUGACAUGAAUCUUGGUCAUCAGGGUUUUUACUUUCCCUGGAAGGAAUGACUGCUUCAUUGUCUCCAGGACAUUCCUGAGAUCAUCCCUGAGGUCAUCUUCCACAUAAUUCUUCAUGAUUUAUGCUUUGUCCAUAUUGCUGCCCAUCUUGAUCUCCCAGACAAGUAAUAAUGUUUAUAUGCUGAGCUUUCAUGAUAGUAUUAAUUUCUCUGAGCCAGAUAAUCAUUUCUAUUUCCAACCAUUUCAAAGACAAAAUUUCAUUAGUCUUUUUUUAUCCUUUGGUUUGUGACUUUGUCACAACAUGUGACUUCUUCAUUUCUAUUCAGAUUCUGGGAUACUUCUAUAUUCUGAUAACCCUGAGGGGAAGCAGGUUUUGGGGGAGCUGCUCUUUCAGCUCAGUAGAAGAUUAAGGCUGGAGAGUUGGGAUGUAAUCUUUAUGCACUAUAAGGCUGGAUUGCAGCAUCCCCUCUGUUCUCCUCUGUCCCUCUCUCUAACACCUAACAUAGCUUCUCUUCUCUCAUUCUUCCGCUUCUGUCUUUUCACUCAUUUCUUUAGGAAUCUGCUCACAUACUUUCUCAGAAUUAUUUCCUGUCCCAUUCUCUUCUUCCUCUUCUGAUUCCUCACAACUACUCUCUUCUUCCUCCUUGAAGCCAGAUGCUGACUCUGGUGAAUAAGGACUCAGCUGAGCUGCUUUUUCUUUUAAAUUUUAGAAAAGAGAUCUCUUUCUUUGUUUUUCUCCAUUUGGCUGGCUUCCUGCCAUGUCCUUCCAUGGUCCUCUUGUACUGCUCUGUGAUGAAUAGAAACUUCUGGCCUCUUGCUCUUUGUGCCUCUUCGAAGACGUCUCUCCCAUUCCUUCUGUUCCCUCCCUCCCUGCUUCUCCCUUAUCUUCCAUUAUGGUUCUUUCUUUAGCUCCAAAUGUUCAAGAUAAUCCUUUUUCCUCCUGGAAUAUUCUCAAGCCAUCUCUCUCUUUUGCUUUUCUCUUUCCAUUUCCAGCAAGCUUUAUCCUGUUCCUCCUGAUGCCUUUGACAGCUCAUGUUCUCAUUCCUCUUUUACCCUGACCUACUUCAUUCUGUUAAAUGAUGUAAUGCCCACUUCCUUUUCUUUUCUUUCCUGUGAGAAGCUUUUUUGUCCCCUUAUGUGACCAUUUGCUGGGGUGUUUUGAAAGUCAGAGUUAUCUUUCACCUUUAUCUCCUAUAGAAUCUGUCUUCCUGUGAGAUGGAUUUCUGAUUAUCUCCAUAUGAUAUUCUCAUCCUCAUCUCUAAAUUUAGAUUUCCCAUCACCAGAAUUUUUAAUGUUUUAUCUCUGCCUUUUCCUUAUUUCUUUCUUCUCUUCUUUUCCUGAAGACAUUUCACCUAAAGUUUUUAAUUUCCAUAAAUCCUCAUCUUCACUUAUCUGAGGUGAAGCUACCUGCCACCACCGGAAAGACAGCUGUUGCCCACCCACAGACUGAAGAGAAGCAGCAUUGAGUGCUGAAGAAGGGUCCCCUCCAAGUUUAGCAUGAUUUGGUGAUGUUGGAUGAAAGCUUUUUCUUUUUUUUUUUUUUUAACUUUCUCUUGCAUGAAGUUUUAAACAUUAAUUUUUUUCUAUUUUUAAUAAAUAUUUCAGUUUCUAGCA